UUGGACGGCCAUAGUGGCGUGGCUCCACCCGAUCCCUUUUCGAACUCGGAAGUUAAGCACGCCGACGUUGCUGCCUGUACUGCGCUUGCGCGCGGGAACGCAACAUCGCUGUCCACC
RNAcentral lists this ribosomal RNA (117 nucleotides) under Candidatus Woesearchaeota archaeon. The record is from RNAcentral. Lineage: Archaea; Nanobdellati; Candidatus Woesearchaeota.